This 92-nucleotide ribosomal RNA is filed under the name Fusarium graminearum. RNAcentral's name for it is "partial 28S ribosomal RNA". It matches the Rfam family "Eukaryotic large subunit ribosomal RNA", at positions 1 to 93 of the family's 3401-position model. Lineage: Eukaryota; Fungi; Ascomycota; Sordariomycetes; Hypocreales; Nectriaceae. The record is from RNAcentral.
UUGACCUCGGAUCAAGUAGGAAUACCCGCUGAACUUAAGCAUAUCAAUAAGCGGAAAAAGAAACCAACAGGGAUUGCCCUAGUAACGGCGAG